Molecule: small nuclear RNA, 94 nt
Filed under: Microtus ochrogaster (prairie vole)
Lineage: Eukaryota; Metazoa; Chordata; Mammalia; Rodentia; Cricetidae
Source: RNAcentral
GUGCUCACUUUGGCAGCACAUAUACUAAAUAUAGAGAUUAUCAUGGUCCCUGAACAAGGGUGACAUACAAACUCAUGAAGUGUUCCAUAGUUAC